RNAcentral lists this ribosomal RNA (252 nucleotides) under uncultured bacterium. RNAcentral describes it as "partial 16S ribosomal RNA". It matches the Rfam family "Bacterial small subunit ribosomal RNA", at positions 524 to 776 of the family's 1533-position model. The record is from RNAcentral.
UACGUAGGUCCCGAGCGUUGUCCGGAUUUAUUGGGCGUAAAGCGAGCGCAGGUGGUUUAUUAAGUCUGGUGUAAAAGGCAGUGGCUCAACCAUUGUAUGCAUUGGAAACUGUAUAUCUAGAGUGUCGGAGAGGCAAGUGGAAUUCCUGGUGUAGCGGUGAAAUGCGUAGAUAUCAGGAGGAACACCAGUGGCGAAGGCGGCUUGCUGGACGAUGACUGACGUUGAGGCUCGAAAGCGUGGGGAGCAAACAGG